GAGAGAGAAGAGAGAGAGAGAGAGAAGAGAGAGAGAGAGAGGAAGGAGACGAGAGAGAGAGAGAGGAGGAAGAAGACAAAGAAAGAGGAGGAGAGGCGAGAGAAAUAUACAUGGAAGGCAGACAAGGAAGUGAAGGAAAGGAACACGUAAAAAGAGAGAGAGAGAUAGAUAGAAGAAAGACAGGGAAAAAGAGCAUAAAAAGAAAGUAAAAAGAAAGAAAGAAAGGGACUAACAACAGUGGAUGACGGUCGGAUCAGCCAACAUUAAUAACAGAUAGUAAGUACGAAUGAUCCUCCCCCCCCCGAGAUAAUGCAAUAAAGUGUCGUCUUGGGUAGAAUUCCGAGAGAAAAGGGUUAUUUUCUGGGAUAAUCAAGGGGACGUCUGAAGGUGUGGCAAUAUCUAAAGGAGUGACUUUUAUUGAAAAAAAAAAAAAAAAAAAAUGGAGAGAGGGGUUUCCCCAUUUUUUUAUUUUGAUAUUUGGGGUAUUAAAUAGAAGAAACAGAAGAAGAGGAAGAAGAAGAAGAAGAAGAAGAGGAAGAAGGAGAAGAAGAGGAAAAAGAAGAAGAAGAAAAGGGUAGUAUAAUGAUAGUUGAAAGGAAUGAUGAUGAAUGGCAGUUUUAAUUUCUAUAAGAGAUAUUAAUAUGGGAUAUUAUGUUCUGGAAUUUGUCUGGAAUGUAUGGUUGGGGUAAUUAUAAUAUAGAAAACAUAGACAUGAACUGAAAAUAUGUGACAUUUUUAUCUUCUAUAUAACUGGUAUAAAAUGUUCAGUAAUAAUAAAAAUAACGAAGAAAUUGUUUAGCGUGGGGAAUGAAAAACAAUGAUUGAAAUCUGUAUCAGUAUCAUUACAAGUAAAAAAAAAAAGAGAGAGAGAGAGAGAGAGAGAGAGAGAGAGAGAGAGAGAGAGAGAGAGAGAGAGAGAGAGAGAGAGAGAGAGAGAGAGAGAGAGAGAGAGAACAUUAAAAAGGGCAACGUACAAAAAAAAAAAUAAAAAAAAAAAAUAAAUAAAAAGCUUAAAAAACAAGAAAAUAUGGAAUUAGUCUUGGACAGAUAUAAUUAUGGUAGAAUGAUAAAAAAAAAAAGAAAAAAGAAAAAAGAAAAACGGAAUGGAUGCAUGUAGAUUAAGCCAUUAGGGAAACUUUGUGAGAAUGAUAGGGAUAAUUUUUUCUAAUUACUUAAUUUUCGUUUUCUAUGCCAUUAGUAUUAUUAUUACUAUUGCUAUUGCUAUUACUAUACUAUUACUAUGGCUACUACGAUUAUCAUUAUCAUUAUUAUUAUCAUCAUCCUGUUAUUAUUUUCAAUACGACCAUCAUUUCCAUCAUCAUUGCUAUUAUUAUCGCUAUUAUCAUUGUUACUAUAAUUAUUGAAAAAAUGGUUGAUAAAAAUUAUAGUAGUAUAAAAGGUUUCGAUAAUGAAAAUGGUAAUAUUGCGAUGUGUUUCGUUGAUAAAGAUGGUACUACUAUGAAAGGUUUUGGUAAUAGAAACGGCACUAUUAGGUAAUGGUAAUAUGAAGGGUUUCGUUGAUAAAAUGGUAGUAUUACGAAGGGUCUUACUAACAUAAUUAAAUAUUACGGGAGGUUUGGUUUGUGUAAAUGGUAACAGUAUGAAAGGUUUCGAUAACGGAAAUGGUAACAGUACGAAAGGUUUCAAUAACGGAAUGGUAACAGUAUGAAAGGUUUCAAUAACGGAAUUGGUAACAGUAUGAAAGGUUUCUCGAUAACGGGAAUAGUUACAGUAUGAAAGGUUCAUUAAUAAUAUUACGAAAGGUCUCGGUAACAAAACCCAUUGCUAUUAUGAAAGGUUUGGUUCAUAGAAAUGGUAGAUGAAUUGUAUCGUGAUAAUCAUGGUGACAUCAUGAAAGCUUUCUUUAAUAACAAGGGUAACAAUAUGAAAGAUGAUUAAUUUUAAUAAUAGAUAUGGUAGGAUUGUGAAUGGUUUCACUAAUGAAAAUGGUAUGGAAGAUUUUACUAGUAUGAAAGGUUUAUAUUUAGGUUUCCGAAGAAAUAAUCAGAUAACGAAAAUGGUAGUAUUAUGAAUGGAUUGGGUGAUGAAAAUAUAUUACAAGUUUCUUUUCUAAAAUUGGUAGGAUUUAGAAGAAAAUUACUGACAAAAUUCAUACUAUUAUUGAAGGUUUUGCUGACCAGAAUGAUUACAUUGUGAAAGUUUUAUUUAUUUAUUUAUAUAUAUAUAUUUUUUAUGAAAGGUUUCAAUGAUAAAGGUAAUAUUAUGAUUAAAAAAUGGUUGCAUUAAGAUUUUUUCUGAUAAAAAGGGUAAAUUAUUGAAAGGUUUGAUAAAAAUUAUAGCAUGAAAUGUAUCUUAAUAUACAUGGUAAUGUGUAUGAUCUUUGAUGAUAAAAAAGAAAUAUGAUUUUCCUACAAAAAAGUAUAAAAGGGUUAAUUGAUGAGGAUGCCAGUACAAUAUAAGGUUUGACUGAUAAAAUGGUAACAGUAUGAAAGAUCUCGAUAAAAAGUGGUAGUAUUAUGUAAUAUUUACUUCAUGAAAGAGGUAAUAUAACAGAUUUCAUUAAUAGAAAUGGUUAAUACAUGGUAAUAUCAUGCAGGGUUUCCACUACAAAGAAAGGGUGAUGAAAACAGUAGAUCCAAAUGUUUCGUUGUUAAGAUAUGGGAGUAUCAUGAAAGUUUUUGAUGAUAAAAUUUAUAGUAUCAUGAAAGGUUUUGUUUACAAAGAUUGUAGCGUUAUGAAAAGUUUAGUUCAUAGAAAUUGCGGUAUGGAAGGUUUUAUGAUAAACAAAGUAGUAUUAUAAAAAUUUCCCUAAUAAUAAGGGUAACACAUUGAAGGGUCUCGUUGACACAGAGGUACCUUCAAAAUAAGUUGAUAAAAUAAUGUGAAUGAUUUCUUUGAUAAAAACGAUAUCACUAGGAAAGGUUUCAUUGAUGAAAAUGGUAAUAUUAAGUUGGUCGAUACAAGAGACGGCAUGAAAUUUGUUCGUGUGAAUAUUAGUAAUUUUGAAAGAGUUAAGUGAUGAAAAUGGUAUAAAGAAAUAUAACAUUAUGAAAAGUGUAAAUAAGAUAAGCAAAAUAAUAUUAUUAAAGAUCUGGUUGCUGGAAAAGAUAGCAUGAAAGGUUUGGUUUAACGUAACUGGCAGCAUUACGAAAGGUAGUAAAUAUGGUGACAUGAAAGGUUUCGUUUAUAAAAUAGUAUCUUAAGAUCUAUUUGGUAACGGAAAGGGUAAUGCUAUGAAAGGUUUGGUUGCUAAAAAGGGUAUUAUGAAGGGUUUUGGUGAUGAAAAGGGUAACUUUUUGAAAGGUUUCAUCGAUAAAAAUGUAUCGUGAAAAAGUUUUGCUGAUAAAAUAGUAUACUUCUAUAAAUGGUUUCGUUGACAAAUAUUAUGGUAAAAAAAAAAAAAAAAAAAUAUAUAUAUAUAUAGGUUGAUAAAAAUGAUAGUAUUACGUAAGAUCGGUAAACAAAAACCAUUGGUUUAUGAAAGGUUUGGGUAAUUAGAAAUGGUAGCAUGAAAAUUUUCUUGAUAAUCAUGGUAACAUCAUGAAAGCUUUCCAUAAUAAAAAGGGGUAACAAUAUGAAAGAUUAUUAAUCUAAUAAUAGAUAUGGAAGAAUUAUGAAUGGUUUCACGAAUGAAAACAAUUUUGAUGAUAAAAAUGCGAGCAUGAAAAGUUUGAUUUAUAUUGCGGUAUCUGAAGAAAUAAUUAGUUAACGCAAAUAGUAGUAUUAUCUAAGGUUUAGUUGAUAAAAAUAUAUUACAUAUUUUAAAACUGGUAGUAUUUUGAAGAAAAUCAUCGACAAAAUUCAUACCAUUAUGAAAGGUUUUGCUGACUAAAAUGGUUGCAUUAUGAAACUUUUUAAAUGAAAAGUUUCGAUGAUGAGGUGGAAAUAUUAUGAUAUUUGUUGAUAAAAUGGUUGCAUUAAGAUUUUUUUUUUCUGAAAAGGUUUAGGUGAUAAAAAUUAUAGCAUGAAAGGUAUCAAUAAAUAUGGUAAUGAGGAAAGAUCAUUUAUAUUAUGAUCUUCCUACAAAUAAGUAUGAACAAUUUAAUUGAUAAUUAUGCCCGUAUUAUGCAAGAUUUGACUGAUGAGAAUGGGAACAGCAUGAAAGGAUUCGUAAUAAAAGAGGUAGUAUUAUGCGAUAUGAAAAAGGUGGUUCAUAGAAACUGCAUCAUGAAAGGUUUCGUAAUAAACUUUGAAGCAUUAUGAAAGGUUUCCCUUAAUAAUAAGGGUAACACAUUGACAGGUCUCGAUUAUAGAGUUAGAAUUUAAAAAAGGUGAUGAUAAAAUGGUAAAGAUUUCUUUAGUAUGAACGGGUAUCAUUAUGAAAAUGUUAAGUAAGGUAAAGUCAAUACAAGAGACAGCAUGGAAGUUUUCGUUCAUAUGAAUUAUUAGUAUUUAGAAAGGGGCCGGUGAGGAAAAUGGUAUGAAAGGUUUAUAAAAAAAUUAUAAAUGAAAUAAUCAAAAGAUAAUCAUUAAAGGUUUGGUUGCUGAAAGAAUAGCAUGAAAGGUUUGGUUAAUAUAAUGGUUUUGAUGGUAAACAUGGUGGCAUGAAAGGUAUCGUAAGGUACAUUUGGUAACGAAAAUGGUAAUGUUAUGAAAGGUUUGGUUGCUAAAAAAGGUAUUAUGAAGGUUUUUAAUGAUAAAAAUGGUACUUUUAUGAAAGGUUUCGUUGAUGAAAAAGAGUGUAUUCUGAAAAGUUUUGCUGAUUCAUAGUUUCGUUGAGAAAUAUUAUUAACUUUCGUUAAAAAAAAAAAAAGCAAAACCCAUUCCACCAUGAAAGAUUUGGUUCAUAGAAAUGGUAGCAUGAAAGGUUUCUUGAUAAUUAUGGUAAUGUUAUGAAAGUUUUCCUUAAUAAAAAGGGUAACAUCAUGAAAGAUCUUGAUGAUACUGGUGGUUACUUUAAUAAUUGCUAUGGUAGAAGUAUGAAUGGUCUUGCUAUUGAAAAUAGUAUGAAAGAUUUUAAUAAAAUGCUAGUAAGUUUCGUUUAUAAGGUAUUACAAAUUAAUUUAAUAACGUAGUAUUAUGACAGCUUUGGUUGAUAAAAAUGGUAAGAAAAGUCUGGCAUGGCAAGUUUGCAUGAUAAAAAAUAGUAGUAUAAUGAAAGGUUUCCUUUAAAAAAUACUGAGAAAGAUCGAUGCAAAUGGUAGUAUGAAAAGUUUCAUUAACGGUAAGGUAAAGAAAGGUUUCUUUAAUGAAAAAGUUAGUGUUAUUUAAGAUUUUAGUGAUAAAAUCUGUUCCAUUAUAAUAGUUUUCGUAAGAAUGAUAAAAAUAGCAGUUUUAUGAAAGGUUUGCAUAAUGAAAGGUUUUGAUGAUAGAAAGGGUAGCACAAUGGAGGGUUAAGCUGACAAAAAUAAUAACAAGGAAGCCUUCUUAAUAAUCAUGGUAAUAUUAAGAAUGUUCUUCGAUGGUGAAAAUUAAACUAUUAUGAGGUUUUAUAUAAAAAAAAAUAUUUUGAUAAAAUAAAAAGUAUUGGUAUGUUUAAUUGGUAAUAUUAUGGAAGCAUUCGAUAAUGAAAACAGUAUUACGCAAAAUUUGGUUGACGAAAGUCUUUUGCUGAUAAAAAUGAUAGCGUUAUGAAAGGUUUAAGUAACAAAAAUAAUAUUACGAGCAAGAAGGUUGAUCACAAUGGGUAUGAGGUUUGAUUAAUAAAAAUGGUAAUAUUAUGAAAAGUUUCGCUGACAAAAUAAAAGUAGAAUGAAAGUUUUCAAUGAUGCAAUUCGUAGUAGUAUGAAAGUUUUCAUUAAGAGAGGUGGCAAUAUAAUGAAAGGUUUGGUUGAUUAAAAAGGUAAUAUUAUGUAAGGUUUGGUAGAUGUAAACCAUUAUGAAAGGCUUUGAUAAAAAAUAGUAGCGUGAAUGGUUUUGGUUUCUAAAGAUGAUAACAUUACGAAAGGUCUUAAUAAUAAUAAUAAUAAUAAUAAUAAUAAUAAUAAUAAUAAUAAUAAUAAUAAUAAUAAUAAUAAUAAUAAUAAUAAUAAUAAAAUGAUAGAAUUGUGCGAUGUUUGGUUGAUGAAAGUGGUAGCUUUAGGACAGUGAUAGUGCUAUGAAAGGUGUGGCUGAUAAAAUACGGUAGUAUUAUGAAUAUAUUAUUCAAUAACAUUUAGUAUUAAAAAGGCUGACCAAAAUGGUAGCACAAGUUUCGUUGAUAGAUGAUUUUGCUGAAAAGAUUCGUAUUUUUAUGCUUGAAUUGUUGCAACAUCAAAGGUUUCAUUGCGAAAAAUGAUCACAUCAUUAAAAGUUUUGUUAAUAAAAACGGUAGUAUUAUGAAAGGGUUGGUUUCCAAAUGAGAUAGAAUGAGUUUUCGUUGAUAUAAUUGUUACUAUUAAGAAAGCUUUCGCUGAUGAAAGUAGUAUGAAAGGUUUCGAUAAUAAGAAUAGUAGUAUGAAAGAUUUAGGUUAUUAUAAGGUAUCUUAAGAGGUAAUUUGAAACAAAUAACGGUAGUAUUAUGAUAACUUUGGCUGAUGAAAAUGGUAGCAUGGAAGGUUCUAUUGAUGAAAGUGUGUAGAAAGACUUUACUUGAUAAAAAAUGGCAGCAUGAAAGAUUUGGAUGAUGAGAUAUGGUAUUAUUACACAAGUUUCUACAAAAGGAAUGGUAGCAAUAAGGUUUAUUCAUGAAAAUGAUAAAAGGGUUUCCUUUAUAUAAAUGGUAUUAUUAUGAAAGGUUUUGAUGAUAAAAGAUUUGGUUGAUAAAUAUGGUUUUCUGAAAGGUUUCGAUGAUGAAGGUAAUAUUUAAAAGGUUUGGUUGAUGAAAGCAGUAGCAUGAAAAAAAAUAUAUGAGAUUUUUUUUUCUGAAAAAAGUAUGGAAGGUUUGCUUGAUAAAAAUGGUAGCAUUAUAAAAGGUUUCAAUAAAAAAAAAGAAAGAAAAGAAAAAAAGAAUCACGAAGAGAGGUUCGUGAAACUGGUAAUAAAAAAAGAAAAGAAAAGAGAAAAAGAAGAAGAGGGUUUCACUGACAAAAUUCGCAGUAAUAAGAAAGGUAUCGAAGUAUUAUGAAAGGCUUGAUUGGUGAAAAUGUAGCAUUACGAAAGGUUUCUUUGAAAAAAGGUAGUAUUGUUUUGUUGAUAAAAAUGUAGCAUUAUGAAGGUCUUGGUUGAUAAAAAUGGUUGCAUUGUAAGAAGGUUUUGAUAAGAUCGCGAGAAUUAAGGUGAUACAAAUGCAGCACGGCAGGUUUGGUUGAUAUAAAUGGUUGCAUGAUUUCUCGAUAAACAUGGUAAUAUUAUGAAAGAAAGGUUUGUUUGCUAGAUUAGUAAUUUUAAGAAAGGUUUCGAUGAAAGAAAUUACAUCAUCAUAAAAAAGUUUUGUUAAUAAGAAUAGUAUGAAAGGUUUGGCUGAAAAAAAGGGUGCAUUGAGAAAUCUUUGAAUAAAUGAAAGUAGUAGUAUAAAGUUUUCGGUAAUAAAAAUGGUUGUAUUAUGAAAAUUUUUGUUGAUAAGCAUGGUAGCAUGAAAGGUUUCGUUAAUAAAUGUGGUAGCAUGAUCUAUUGUUGAUAAGAGAUGGUAGUUUUUAUUAAAGGUCUGGUUUAUAACAAUGGUAGCAUUAUGCAAGGUUUCAUAACAUAAAUGAUAAUUUUGUAAAAGUAAUGGUUAACAGAAAUGGUAGCAGGGAUGAUUUCAUUGAUAUAAAACAUAGUAUUAAGAGAACUUUAGCUAAAAGAAAAGAAAAGAAAACAGCUUUAUAAAAGUCUGCUAUAAUAAUAAUAUGAAAAGUUAGGUUGAUAAAUUCGGUAGCAUGAAAGGUGUUAGGACUGGUAUAAAAGGUUUGGUUAAUGAAGAUGAUAGUAUUAAGUUUUGAUAACAGAUAGUAUUAUGUUUGGUGUUAAAAGUGGUAGCAUAAAAUUUUCGAUAAUAGCAAUAUCUUUAAUGAAAAUCGUAAUAUCAUUAAAGCCUUCUAUGUCAAGAAGGUUAGUUAUUAAAGAGUUUGAUAAGAAUGGUAGCAUGAGGUGUCCGUGAUUAAAAUGUUAACAUUAUGUAAGGUUUCGUUACUGAUAAUGGUAGUAUUAUGAAAGGUUUUAGUGAUAAAAAUGGCAGCAAUAUGGGAGGUUUUGGUGAUGAAAAUGGUAGCUUUAAGAAAAGUUGCAAGAAUGAAAAUGGUGUAAUUGUGAAAGGAGUGGUUGAUUGGUUAAAGAAAAUAAUAGCAUUUUGAAAGUUUUCAACAGUGAAAAUUAUUAUGUGUUUAUAUAUAAAAAAUAAAAACGAUAGAAAGUUUUCGGUGAUGAAGAUAGUAGCAUUAAUAUAAUAAAAAUGGUAGUAAUAUGAAAGUUUUAGUUGACAAUGGUAGCAUUAUGAGAGGUUUGGUCGAUAAAGAUGGCACUAUUAUGAAAACAUUGGUUGAUAAAAAUGGCAACAUUAUCAAAGGUUUUGGUAAUGAAAUUGAAAGUUUUAUGAGAAUUUUCGUUAAAAAAAUGGCAGCGUUAUGAAGUGUGUCGAUAAAAAUAAUGCUGAAUUUAUGAAGUAUUUGCGUGAUAAAAUUAUAUGAUUAUAAAAUUCUUGGAUAAUAAAAUGAUGAAUGAAGCGAAACAAGUUUCACGUAAUAUUACUUAUGUGAAAGAAUGUGAUUCUAAAAACCAUUAAGGUAAGUAAGUAUUUAGUCUCAUGUAGUAUUAUUACAAUGAAAUGAAUUUAUCCCAUGCUGAGUAUUAUUAAGGCAAGGAAUUAAGUUUUUAUCAUGCUGAGUAUUAUUAAGGCAAGGGAUUGAGUUAUUAUCAUGCUGAGUAUUAUUAAGGCGAGGGAUUGGGUUUUUAUCAUGCUGAGUAUUAUUAAGGCAAGGGAUUGAGUUAUUAUCAUGCUGAGUAUUAUUAAGGCAAGGUAAUGAGUUUAAAUAAGUAUCAUGACGGUAAAAUGAUUAGUUAGCCCCAGGUUGUGUAUCACUGAGGAAAAGAAAGAUCCCGGGGGUAUGUAUUAUCAAGGUAAAUAAUGAGAUAAUCCACUGGGUUUGAGUAUUGCGAAGGUAAAAUUAAGUAUUUUCCCGGGACUGUGUUUGGUAGCGGUGGAAUUGGCUAAAAAAAAAAAAAAAAAAAAAAAAAAAAAAAAAAAAAAAAAAAAA
Molecule: long non-coding RNA, 8993 nt
Organism: Penaeus monodon (black tiger shrimp)
Lineage: Eukaryota; Metazoa; Arthropoda; Malacostraca; Decapoda; Penaeidae
Exons: 2
Source: RefSeq, a predicted model, not a curated record